This 279-nucleotide ribosomal RNA is filed under the name uncultured Synechococcus sp. Its description in RNAcentral is "partial 16S ribosomal RNA". It matches the Rfam family "Bacterial small subunit ribosomal RNA", at positions 1252 to 1533 of the family's 1533-position model. Lineage: Bacteria; Bacillati; Cyanobacteriota; Cyanophyceae; Synechococcales; Synechococcaceae. The record is from RNAcentral.
AAUGCGAGACUAGCAAUCCCAUAAACCGUGGCUCAGUUCAGAUCGUAGGCUGCAACUCGCCUACGUGAAGUAGGAAUCGCUAGUAAUCGCAGGUCAGCAUACUGCGGUGAAUACGUUCCCGGGCCUUGUACACACCGCCCGUCACACCAUGGAAGUUGGCCACGCCCGAAGUCGUUACUUUAACCCUUGUGGAGAAGGACGCCGAAGGUGGGGCUGAUGACUGGGGUGAAGUCGUAACAAGGUAGCCGUACCGGAAGGUGCAGCUGGAUCACCUCCUAA